CAAGGAAUAGUUUAAAAAGAAUUUCAGCUUUGGGUGCUGGUGGUGGGGCAGUUGCUUCUUCCUUGA
This 66-nucleotide transfer RNA is filed under the name Prionodon linsang (banded linsang). RNAcentral's name for it is "tRNA-Pro". Lineage: Eukaryota; Metazoa; Chordata; Mammalia; Carnivora; Viverridae. The record is from RNAcentral.